UACGGAGGAUGCAAGCGUUAUCCGGAAUGAUUGGGCGUAAAGCGUCCGCAGGUGGCAAUGUAAGUCUGCUGUCAAAGCGUCUGGCUCAACCAGAUAAAGGCAGUGGAAACUACAUAGCUAGAGUAAGGUAGGGGUAGAGGGAAUUCCUGGUGUAGCGGUGAAAUGCGUAGAGAUCAGGAAGAACACCGGUGGCGAAAGCGGGUCUCUGGGGCAGUAACUGACGCUGAGGAGCGAAAGCGUGGGGAGCGAACAGG
RNAcentral lists this ribosomal RNA (254 nucleotides) under uncultured bacterium. RNAcentral describes it as "partial 16S ribosomal RNA". It matches the Rfam family "Bacterial small subunit ribosomal RNA", at positions 524 to 776 of the family's 1533-position model. The record is from RNAcentral.